AGGCACACUUGCUUGAUGGCUGGGCUAGUGCUGGUGCAACUGUUGAUUCGGCUAGACAAGACCUUGCUGUCACCUUUGGUGGCCUGAGUUCACUAUUCCAACUAUCAAAAUUAUCUCUUGCAAAUGUUUACAAAGGGUCCGGAUUGGCGAACAGAUAUCUUUAGUGAGGAUGAAGCUUUCUUGGCCACUGUCAACAAGAGAGGCUGUUGUGCACUAUUUUUUGUUUGAGUACUUUCAAGAUGAUCUCAUUGUUGUUCUUCUAAACACGAUCUCUGAUUCAGAAGACAUUGACAUGGCCACUCAUGGUUUUACCAGUGAAGCAAUCCCUGAAGCAGAGGAUGUUAUUAGGAUUGAUGUGGUAGGAGGCUAUGCUUUGCAAAAGGCACAGCCUUUGUAGUGUUUGAUAGAUUGAUUGAAUUAGUGCCAUGAUGGCUUCUACCAUUUUUAGAAGCAUUCAAAACCACCCUUUGUUGCUGUACCCAACUGCAUUGUUUAGAAGAAAGAAUGGCGUUUUUUAUUGCACUAUGAAAAGCAUAGAAGCCCAAACUGCCACUCAAGAAAAGCAAAAGCCCCAUAUUGUGUGCUUCAUAUGGGGAGACAGGAAAAAUGUCUGCUAGUGAUCCAAAUUCUGCCAUAUAUGUCACUGAUUCUGAGAAGGACAUAAAAAAUAAGGUUGAUAUACCAAUUAAAUACCUAAGUUAUUUCCUGGAGGAUGAUGCUGAGCUUGAACACACAAAAAAGGAGUAUGGUGCUGGACAAAUGCUUACAGGUGUGGUAAAGCAGCGACUUGUAGCUCAACUAGCUCAUUUUGGUGUUUCCAAUGGAGACGUCUUUGAUUCAAAUCUCUCAUCCCCCAACAAUCAAAGUAUAAAAAAUAAAAAAUUAAAAGGAAAGAAAAAGAAGAAAUUCCUGCUAAUCAGUCUCAGCUAGAUUGACUUUAAAUGGCUUUUGAAAUGCGUCCUGAGUAUUGGAUAAGCAAAUUAACAAAACUCAUCUAUACAAAAUUGAAUUCACUUGACACCCAAAUUCAAGGAAAACCUGUUUUGGAAGUCUACUUUCUGCAUUUUGCUUGUAAUCUGAGUAUUCAUCCCCUUGUAAUUUAAGGAAAUUAUAUAACGAUGAUGUGUGCAGAUAAGUUGUUUGAAUCUCUUCUAAGCUGAGGACAAACAGUAUUUCUCUGUGAGUUUGCUUUGUUUUUCAAUUUGUUGAUUGGUUGUUAUGGUCAGGUCAAUGUAAUGGACACAUUCAGCAGACUUAGCCAUCACAGAUUCAGAAGUAGCAAUGGUUGCAGUAAUGUCUACUAAGGUAUUUGGAUGCUACAGGCUUCAAGUUAUGGCUACUAAGGUUGAUUGACAAUAGAGCAUUUCAAGUGGCUUUGGUUUUGUGAGAUGUGAGCGCAAAGUGAGGAAAGGAGUGGAACCAGUGUAGUUGUAUAGUAGUUGACUCCUUUUUUUAUUUAUAAAAUUUUGUAAAUUUAAUUAUGUUGCAGCAAAAGACAUAAAAGUGUAGUGAGGUGAGCUUGCUGGAGUGUAACAUU
Molecule: long non-coding RNA, 1537 nt
Organism: Quercus lobata
Lineage: Eukaryota; Viridiplantae; Streptophyta; Magnoliopsida; Fagales; Fagaceae
Exons: 9
Source: RefSeq, a predicted model, not a curated record